UAGGGAAUCUUCCGCAAUGGACGCAAGUCUGACGGAGCAACGCCGCGUGAGUGAAGAAGGAUUUCGGUUCGUAAAACUCUGUUGUUAGAGAAGAACAGCGCAUAGAGUAACUGUUAUGCGUGUGACGGUAUCUAACCAGAAAGCCACGGCUAACUACGUGCCAGCAGCCGCGGUAAUACGUAGGUGGCAAGCGUUGUCCGGAUUUAUUGGGCGUAAAGCGAGCGCAGGCGGACAAUUAAGUCUGAUGUGAAAGCCCCCGGCUCAACCGGGGAGGGUCAUUGGAAACUGGUUGACUUGAGUGCAGAAGAGGAGAGUGGAAUUCCAUGUGUAGCGGUGAAAUGCGUAGAUAUAUGGAGGAACACCAGUGGCGAAGGCGACUCUCUGGUCUGUAACUGACGCUGAGGCUCGAAAGCGUGGGUAGCAAACAGG
Molecule: ribosomal RNA, 429 nt
Filed under: Bacteroidota bacterium
Lineage: Bacteria; Pseudomonadati; Bacteroidota
Description: Bacteroidetes bacterium partial 16S ribosomal RNA
Rfam family: Bacterial small subunit ribosomal RNA
Source: RNAcentral